AUUGAACGCUGGCGGAAUGCUUUACACAUGCAAGUCGAACGGCAGCACGGACUUCGGUCUGGUGGCGAGUGGCGAACGGGUGAGUAAUGUAUCGGAACGUGCCCAGUCGUGGGGGAUAACGUAGUGAAAAUUACGCUAAUACCGCAUACGAUCUAUGGAUGAAAGCGGGGGAUCGCAAGACCUCGCGCGAUUGGAGCGGCCGAUAUCAGAUUAGGUAGUCGGUGGGGUAAAGGCCCACCAAGCCAACGAUCUGUAGCUGGUCUGAGGGGACGACCAGCCACACUGGAACUGAGACACGGGCCAGACUCCUACGGGAGGCAGCAGUGGGGAAUUUUGGACAAUGGGCGAAAGCCUGAUCCAGCCAUUCCGCGUGCAGGAUGAAGGCCCUCGGGUUGUAAACUGCUUUUGUACAGAACGAAAAGGUUUCUACUAAUACUAGGAGCUCAUGACGGUACUGUAAGAAUAAGCACCGGCUAACUACGUGCCAGCAGCCGCAGUAA
Molecule: ribosomal RNA, 500 nt
Filed under: uncultured bacterium
Lineage: Bacteria
Description: partial 16S ribosomal RNA
Rfam family: Bacterial small subunit ribosomal RNA
Source: RNAcentral